UUGAUUGCGGCAGCCAUUUUAGAACUCUGGCUGCCUAUAUAAACAGAGCAGUUCACAACUGGCAGGUCAGGUAAAAGCACUGCCUGGCUGAAAGGCUGUACAAAACACCUUAGAGGCUGGAAGCAUUGUCACCUGGAUGCCAUCUGAAAGCCUUGGGCUGCAAUGUAGGGGAAUGGAGCUGCAGGUAGUGCCCCCUGGCAUCGGGGCAAGAAUGGGCAGCCUCGUGCCUUAUUAGAACCAAUUAAGAAACAACGAGCAGCAGGUGAGGAGUCAAGACAAAGGGAGGAUAAAGAAUUCCUUGAACACCCAUAAACUGGAUUUUAAUCAGCGAGUUGGACACACUGCUUUCAGAACUAGACCACAGAACUAAAUUGCCACAAGGCAGAUCCCUGUACUUCUAUGGACCUUCACUGAAGUCGCAUCAACUUGCAGGAUCCAUAAUUUAGUCAUUUUAAGUUUGGUUUGUUUGUUGUUUUUUUUUUUUUUUUU
Long non-coding RNA from Alligator mississippiensis (American alligator), 489 nucleotides. RefSeq lists it as uncharacterized. The transcript has 4 exons. The record is from RefSeq and is a predicted model, not a curated record. Lineage: Eukaryota; Metazoa; Chordata; Crocodylia; Alligatoridae.